This is a long non-coding RNA of Pseudopipra pipra, 4751 nucleotides long. RefSeq lists it as uncharacterized. The transcript has 2 exons. The record is from RefSeq and is a predicted model, not a curated record. Lineage: Eukaryota; Metazoa; Chordata; Aves; Passeriformes; Pipridae.
UCCCAAGAACUUGGACUUCAUUCAAGCUACUUGACAAAAGCCCUUUUCUCUCAUUUGGAGGGUGAGAUUUAUGGAAGUGGCUGCAGAGCCUCUGUAUUCAAAGCUAGUGAAAAAAUGUUACCUUCCGCAGGACUUUGAAACCUUCGUGAUUUAUAAUCAGUGCCUUAUUUUGAAGAAUCCUUUUUUAUGCUGAAGGUCACAGGUAAAUAUUGCUGGAAAAAGCAAUAAAAAUAUUUUUAAAAGGCAAUUAAAAAAAUUUAAAGACCAGUAAAAGUAAAUAUUGCUGGAAAAAGAAAUCAAAUGGAAAAUAGCACAUUUUGUAGGAGUGUCAUAUGAUCUGUCUUGCUAAAUUAUACCAGAAACAGUCUGAUGAAGCAUGAAAUUUGCAUGGUUUACAGACCUAACUAUUUUUUGAUACUGUAGGCACCUAAUAGACUUUCAACAGCAUUUUAUAGGCUGUUCACUUUGAUUUGCUUCAUAAAUUGCAAAAGCUGUCCGUUAUUGUUAAAUGUGCAUGUUCUCUGUGGUAAAGUAGAAUGCUGAUCAAAUUGAUGUCUUUAAGCAGAAUUCUUUGUGGUUUAAGUAGAAUUCUCUGUAUCUUUAAGCAGAAUUCACUGUCCCUGUCCCUUCCUUUGAUCUCUGUUGCAGAUGGAACCGGGUAGCAUCAUUCUCACCUUUAACCCCUCUUUUGAGUGUAAAAAGAUGCUAUCAGUUGUGUUAAGCAGAUGUUGCUCGAUGUUUGUGGAAAGCUUUUGUGUUUUACAACCAGUUUGGCAAUUGUCUAAGAUGAUGUCUUCUUUGGCACUCAACCUGGGGUUCUGGGAGCGCUGAACUGAACUCUGCUGGAAACUGAAUAUAGGGUACCUCACCAAACAACCAUUAGAGAAAACCAGAGAUGCUGAAGAGGAACCCACACCUCCUCACAGGCAGUGGCACACCUUGUGCAAGCUAAACAAUUAUGCAAUAGCUAGGUGGUAACUAUGUAUUAAAUAAGUGGGUUUAUGUAGAUUUCGAUGUGUAAAUUCUCUCAGUUUUCACUCCUUGGUGUAUUUGAUUUGUGGAAAACUUCCACCUUGCACCCUGAUCAGAAUAAACAAUGUCUCCUUUCUAAACAUGACUGUUUGUCCAUAUCUAGAGAGUUCCAAAAAUUGGCAACAAAAGCAGUAAAUCGAUUAACAGCUUAGAAGCCUUUGCAGAAGAAUUAAAUUCUUUUAGGUGCUGCCCAAGCAUUGAAAGAGGAGAAGACGGAAUCUGCUCCAGCCAAGCCAUCCGGGCCUGUUGCAGAAACAUUCAGAGUUAUUCAGGGGGCCAUGACAGAAGAGAAUGUGAGAAGUACUCAGGGCGUCUUUCAGUUUGAAUUAUCUGGUGACGGUGGAGGCACGUGGUAUAUCGACCUGAAGAACAAGGGUGGGAGCACUGGCUUUGGAAAGCCCCCUGGGACAGCUGAUGUGGUUAUGAGCAUGUCGAGUACUGACUUUGUGAAAAUGUUCACAGGUGAGGGACAAAGGCCUCUGUCAGACCGGUGCCCAGAAAACCUUCUGCUGAUGGGGGAGGAGACUGGCAUCUCGCUUUCUGAUCUGGGAUGGAGGAGCUUUCAGCUUUUUGUGGCUCAGGAGAAAGUACAGGCCAGAAGUGCUUGCAUUUUUCUGGACUCCUGUGUUUUGUGAACAGGAAGAGAACAAAAGCUUACUCUUCUUUUAUUAACCAGCUAUUGACAUUUUAGCAGCCAGCGUAGCUUCAGAAAGAAUCCAGUCAAUGUGUUGUAUUUGUGUUCUGCACAGCUCUACGCAGUGUUUCCUAAAUGUGCACUGCUUUUACAAGAGGACUUGGUAGGAAAAUAACCUGAUUUCUUUCAUCUCCCCUGAGACAUCUGAGUUAUAUGGUCUUUUCUCCAUUAAAAUCAGUCAUAAUCUAAUGAUUUCCCUAAGUAAUAGGAUACAACUGGCUCUCUUAAAGAGUGUUUUCUGGCUCCAGAAAAGGUAGGUAUUGGUGAAGUUCUGUUGGACAAGAGGCAGUAUCAGAACUUUCACAACGUUAAAUUGCUACACUUCUUUGUAAGUGUGAUUUUCGCAUUUAUCGCUAUUCAAAACAGUUCUGAACCUUCUUUAGCAAGCUUCAAAAUGAAGUCAGAAGAGAACAGAUUAUUCAUGAAAAAAGAAGUUAUCCAUUAAGUUAAUCAUUAUAAUCAGGACCUCAAAAUACUUCUACAAAUGAACUGGAAAAGUAAAUUCUAUUUUAAUUAAUCAGCCUCAUCAUUUUCAGCAAAGGGCUUUAAUAUUGUGAAAUGUAGAUAGAUAGAUAAAUACAUUGUCAGACUGAGAGAUUUUAAUUGUAUGAGAUUUAAUUGCAGUGUCUGAUUUUUACCACAUGGAUAAAACUAUGAAGUAUAUUCCAAAGUAGAAUUUCUAAAGAACUUGAAGAUCUUACUCUAAAGAUAUUACUGUUUCUUCUGCACAGCCUGUAUCCAGGUCCUUUCCAUUUUCUAAUGAUUCCUUUUCUCUUUUUAGAUAAGCUAAAGCCAUUCAUGGCUUUCGUGUCAUGAAAUUCUAGUGUUAAUGGUGACACAGUUCUACCGUCAAGUCUGCCACAGAUAAAUUUUGAACACUAGCAGAAAUACUGGCCUUUCAUAUAUAACUACAAUGCUUUUUUAAAGUGCCAGUCGUCAUUUCUUUUUUAUGGAGUAUAAGUAUUCAAUAGAUUUUAUAAUUUUUAGAGAAGUUGCAACUCAGUUUGAAUAUAAUAUCCAACAGCGAACAUUUUUAAUAACUUGCUGUAAUGAUUAAAAUAAAAACUAUGUCCCAAAAUUCUGAUGUUUCAAGCUUAUAGGAACUGACCACCCCUAUCAGAUGUUAUUAAAAAAGGCUGAUGAUUUCAAGCUAUUGGAAAACACAGUGUAUGUGCUUGCAUGAAAAAUAUGGCUACAUAUAUUUUAUUUCUUUAGGGAGCCACCUUGAAAUACUUGAAAUACAUCUUUUGAAAUCUACUGCUUCUAGAAAACAUUUUUCAAGUGAACAUAUAUAUUCAAAGUACAUUUUCAAAUGCCGCCCUGUGACACUUAAAAAACUGAAGCAGAUGAAAGAACUUGGGUAUCGGGAGCAACCCUGUUUGAUUUCAUACCUAUUUCAUAAGCAGCCCCAUGUCUUUGCAAUUUUCCUUUCUGUGCAACUUUUCUGCCAACGAAUUUUUGUUUUUCAGGGUUACUGGGGUGGAGGGGAAAGGUGUGCAGCAUCCAGUACAACAUUAACUGUGUCCUAGCACCUGAAGACAGAAUGUGUUUAUUUGCUUCCCUGCCUAUGUGGGUAGUUAAUGGUGCAUGAGCUUCUUGUGUAGUCAGUAACAAUGGUCUUGCAUAACAUGUUUGAUAACUGUAGUGUCAUUUGGCGAGGUACUGUGAUGCCUGUGACACCUAGAGAAAAGCAUCAUCUUCAGAAGAAAAGUGCUUUUGUUUCAGAUGGAUCCAGAGCUGCACAACCUGCCUCCAACUGGCCACUGUGUUUCUUCUCUCUCUAACAUAUCAGUAGUGGUGCUUGCAUGGUGGAGGAGUGGGAGCUCACCAGGCUCAGAAUCUUUAGAAUAAGUGGUGUGGUGGCUGUGCCUCGCCAUGGGUACUGUGGGACCCAGUGAUCCAGAGUGUUAGGGAUAUUUGAUCCUUGCAUUACAAAUUUUCAUAUUAUGCCAUUUCUGGAAUUUUCGCUGUAAAAAAAAGACAUGACUGAAAAACGAGCCAGUCCACUGUGCACUGUGAGGACAAGACCUAGAAUGGGUGCUACAGUAGAGGAAUUACUGCAGGUAUUCACAUUCUGCAGAGGAUUUUUACAUGAGGUCAAAACUGUGUUGCUUUUUAAUCCAUUGCUCACUUCACAGCUUUUGAAGCCCAUAAAAAUGAAGUGGCUAAACAAACUGUGAUGGUUUUGCUACUGUGGGUAACUGUUUUUCUGGAUGAUGGUAAAGCUACAGGUUUUCUGGGUGAUGAUAAGGAACAGAACAGCUCCAGGACCUAUGUAAGGCACAGACACGAUCUGUUUGCUGCUGACGGUAGUGAGAAGGACUGAUGGCUCAUCCAUCACACUGGAAGGAGAUGUAAACUCAUGCCUCGUGUUCUCAAGGGCUUUGUUUCGAUGUCUUUUCUCCCACGUCUUCAGCACAGUUCCAGCUCCUCCGGCGGAGUUUAGAGAGGCGCCGGGACCGACGGAGCGGCCGCUGCCAGCAGAGGGAGCAGGCAGCCCACUGCAGAGCGUUGCCUUUGGACACCCAGCGCUUCCGAGUGCUGCCAGCGUUGCGCAGGCAUCCUAAAGGGCCAAACUCGCCAAAGUGCAGCAAUAUCUUUCCUGCUCAAAGCAGGGGUCAAGUGUGGGAUGGGGUAGGAUACGCAGAUUUGGGGCAGCAUCAAAAUCUGCGUCUGUGCCUUGCAGCCUCUCAUCUCCCUACCCCUUCUUUUGGUACAGUCCCUGCUCCAGAAGGGGAGGGUGUACUUCUAGGUGACAGAGCACUAGGACUUGUCAUUCUUAUCUCUCCCACUAAAAUAAUCAGCGAGGGUGUAAUGCUUUGUUGUCAGGGACAGCCUUGGUUUGCAAGAAUAUUGGCCUGGAUGCUUAAAACUUUGACAAAAAUUAAACCCACUGAACCUCAGUCCAUAUAAUGGAGUGUUCCUUAAUCUUAGUUCUGUGCAGCAUUCUAUCCUGGAACAAGAUGUCGCUUUAUAUAACAAAGCUAAGCUUUAACUAACUAAAUAUAAUUAGCUCAAGCAAUAA